UACGUAGGGUGCAAGCGUUGUCCGGAAUUAUUGGGCGUAAAGAGCUCGUAGGCGGUUUGUCGCGUCUGCUGUGAAAACUCGGGGCUUAACUCCGGGCCUGCAGUGGGUACGGGCAGACUAGAGUGCGGUAGGGGAGACUGGAAUUCCUGGUGUAGCGGUGAAAUGCGCAGAUAUCAGGAGGAACACCGGUGGCGAAGGCGGGUCUCUGGGCCGUAACUGACGCUGAGGUGCGAAAGCGUGGGGAGCAAACAGG
Molecule: ribosomal RNA, 253 nt
Filed under: uncultured bacterium
Lineage: Bacteria
Description: partial 16S ribosomal RNA
Rfam family: Bacterial small subunit ribosomal RNA
Source: RNAcentral